This 76-nucleotide transfer RNA is filed under the name compost metagenome. RNAcentral describes it as "tRNA-Lys". It matches the Rfam family "tRNA". Rfam says of the family: Transfer RNA (tRNA) molecules are approximately 80 nucleotides in length. Their secondary structure includes four short double-helical elements and three loops (D, anti-codon, and T loops). The record is from RNAcentral.
GUCUCCUUAGCUCAGCCGGUAGAGCAUUUGACUUUUAAUCAAAGGGUCGCAAGUUCGAGCCUUGCAGGAGACACCA